Molecule: ribosomal RNA, 253 nt
Filed under: uncultured bacterium
Lineage: Bacteria
Description: partial 16S ribosomal RNA
Rfam family: Bacterial small subunit ribosomal RNA
Source: RNAcentral
UACAGAGGUCUCAAGCGUUGUUCGGAUUCAUUGGGCGUAAAGGGUGCGUAGGCGGCGCGGUAAGUCGGGUGUGAAAUCUUGGAGCUUAACUCCGAAACUGCAUUCGAUACUGCCGUGCUUGAGGACUGGAGAGGAGACUGGAAUUUACGGUGUAGCGGUGAAAUGCGUAGAUAUUGGGAGGAAUACCAGUGGCGAAGGCGGCUCACUGGACCGGAACUGACGCUGAGGCGCGAAAGCGUGGGGAGCAGACGGG